RNAcentral lists this long non-coding RNA (579 nucleotides) under Equus asinus (donkey). RNAcentral's name for it is "lncRNA (ENSEASG00005028375.1)". The record is from RNAcentral. Lineage: Eukaryota; Metazoa; Chordata; Mammalia; Perissodactyla; Equidae.
GGGGACACAAGAGUUGCAGGCGUGGCAGGAUCUGUGAGCAUGGCAGGAGCUGCAGCUGAGGCAGGAGGCUCCAGGUGAGGAAGGAGCUGCAGGUGUGUCUGAGGCAGGGGCCCCAGAGGAGGCAGGAACUGCCGGUGAGGCAGUCACUGCCGGUGAGGAUGGAGCUGAAGAUGUGGCAGGAGCCCCAGUUGAGAGGGAAGCUGCCGGUGAGGAGGAAGUUGGAGAUGUGGCAAGAGCUGCAGGUGAGGCGGGAGCUGCAGGUGAGGAGGAAGUUGGAGAUGUGGCAAGAGCUGCAGGUGAGGAAGAAGCCACAGGUGAGGAAGAAGCUGAGAGUGAGGAGGAAGCUGAGGGCGAGGCAGGAGCUGAAGAGGAAGCAGGAUCGUCAGAUGAAGAGGGAGCUGCAGGGGACACAGGAGUUGCAGGCAUGGUGGCAUCUGUGAGCAUGGCAGGAGCUGCAGGUGAGGCGGGAGCUGCAGGUGAGGAGGAAGUUGGAGAUGUGGCAAGAGCUGUGGGUGAGGAAGAAGCCACAGGUGAGGCAGGAGCCCCAAGUGAGGAAGAAGCCGCAGGUGAGGACAAAGC